Triticum dicoccoides is the source of this 580-nucleotide long non-coding RNA. RefSeq lists it as uncharacterized. Lineage: Eukaryota; Viridiplantae; Streptophyta; Magnoliopsida; Poales; Poaceae. The record is from RefSeq and is a predicted model, not a curated record. The transcript has 3 exons.
GCUGAAGAUGCGGAUGAAGGCCCGCUCAUCGGUGCCCACCCUCUUCUCGCCGGCUUGAUACAGCUCCCUCGCGUCGUCUGUCACCGCCGAAGGAUCAACUUCCGGGCCUUCGUUGCGCCGGACUCCCAGGUGCGUUCGGUGAUGUCAUGCUCGAGGUAGCAUCCGAACCUCGCGCGGUAGGUUUGCUUCAUGAUCUGCAGCUGCGACGGCGUCCUGGAGCAGAUUACCUCCGUGGCGGCUCUCAGGUCGGUGAUGUCGCCGUUGAGAGCCUGGUUCAGUAUGGUCGCGUCACGCCCCACGGGGUCGAGGACCCAAAGCAGCAUAGCAUUCUGCAACCACAGCCAUGCAGGAUGAGCGCGCGCUGCGCCGAGUCGCGGUGAGCAAGUAUGUUAGUCACCGUCGUGCUGUCGCAGCCGAACCCUGCACAAUACAAGAAGACCACCGGCUGUUACACAGAAAACAUCGAUUGUUGCUAGACAGGAUGGAAGAAAUAGUUCAUCGUUCGUUUCAUCUCUGUGUACCUUUGAAGGCCUUGUGGAGAGCGACGGCGUCAUCACGCGGAGGCGUGAGCACCGGAGGC